CUGUUGUAUGAAAGGAGAGAAGGUUAGCACUCCCCUUGACAAGGAUGGAAGAGGCCCUUGGGCCUGACAACAUGCAUACAGUUAAGGCAUUGCCACCUACACCUACUUCGUGGCAUCUAACCACUGUUUUUA
This 132-nucleotide non-coding RNA is filed under the name Sciurus vulgaris (Eurasian red squirrel). The record is from RNAcentral. Lineage: Eukaryota; Metazoa; Chordata; Mammalia; Rodentia; Sciuridae.